UCUUAGUUAUGGUAAGUGUGAUUGUCUUGAUGAGUAGACCAUGAAACAAAAAAAAAUGUUAAUGGAAAUAAGUGCUUUAUGCCUACACUGUAAAAAUAAAUCUGUAAAAUGACACAAAAAGUACUGGCAGGAUUUAUCAAGUAGUUUUACAGACAUUUCUGUCAACUCUAAAACAUGAUGCAGUGCAGUGUAAAAUUCAAAAUGCAGGUAAAAAAAAAAUAAAACUGGAAAGUUCCUUCAGUACACACAUAAUAUGUUCUGGCCUGUGUUAUUAUUGGUCGCUGUUGUUAUUAAUGUACUGCAGACAUCACAGUCACUUUUACAGGUCCUUCUCAAAAAAUUAGCAUUGUGAUAAAGUUAAUUAUUUUCCAUAAUGUAAUGAUAAAAAUUAAACAUUCAUAUAUUUUAGAUUCAUUGCACACCAACUAAAAUAUUUAAGGUCUUCUAUUGUUUUAAUACUGAAGAUUUAUACAGCUCAUGAAAACCCAAAAUUCCUAUCUCAAAAAAAUAGCAUAUUUCAUCCGACCAAUAAAAGAAAAGUGUUUUUAAUACAAAAAAAGUCAACCUUCAAAUAAUUAUGUUCAGUUAUGCACUCAAUACUUGGUCGGGAAUCCUUUUGAAGAAAUGACUGCUUCAAUGCGGCGUGGCAUGGAGGCAAUCAGCCUGUGGCACUGCUGAGGUGUUAUGGAGGCCCAGGAUGCUUCGAUAGCGGCCUUAAGCUCAUCCAGAGUGUUGGGUCUUGCGUCUCUCAACUUUCUCUUCACAAUAUCCCACAGAUUCUCUAUGGGGUUCAGGUCAGGAGAGUUGGCAGGCCAGUUGAGCACAGUAAUACCAUGGUCAGUAAACCAUUUACCAGUGGUUUGGGCACUGUGAGCAGGUGCCAGGUCGUGCUGAAAAACAAAAUCUUCAUCUCCAUAAAGCUUUUCAGCAGAUGGAAGCAUGAAGUGCUCCAAAAUCUCCUGAUAACUAGCUGCAUUGACCCUGCCCUUGAUAAAACACAGUGGACCAGCACCAGCAGCUGACAUGGCACCCCAGACCAUCACUGACUGUGGGUACUUGACACUGGACUUCAGGCAUUUUGGCAUUUCCUUCUCCCCAGUCUUCCUCCAGACUCUGGCACCUUGGUUUCCGAAUGACAUGCAAAAUUUGCUUUCAUCUGAAAAAAGGACUUUGGACCACUGAGCAACAGUCCAGUGCUGCUUCUCUGUAGCCCAUUUCCUGCACACACCUGUGCACGGUGGCUCUGGAUGUUUCUACUCCAGACUCAUUCCACUGCUUCCGCAGGUCCCCCAAGGUCUGGAAUCGGUCCUUCUCCACAAUCUUCCUCUGGUCACCUCUUCUCAUUGUGCAGCGUUUUUUGCCACACUUUUCCCUUCCCACAGACUUCCCACUGAGGUGCCUUGAUACAGCACUCUGGGAACAGCAUUUUCGUUCAGAAAUUUCUUUCUGUGUCUUACCCUCUCGCUUGAGGGUGUCAAUGAUGGCCUUCUGGACAGCAGUCAGGUCGGCAGUCUUACCCAUGAUUGGGGUUUUGAGUAAUGAACCAGGCUGGGAGUUUUUAAAAGCCUCAGGAAUCUUUUGCAGGUGUUUAGAGUUAAUUAGUUGAUUCAGAUGAUUAGGUUAAUAGCUCGUUUAGAGAACCUUUUCAUGAUAUGCUAUUUUUUUUUAGAUAUUUUGGGUUUUCAUGAGCUGUAUGCCAAAAUCUUCAGUAUUAAAACAAUAAAAGACCUGAAAUAUUUCAGUUUGUGUGCAAUGAAUCUAAAAUAUAUGAAAGUAGUGACCUGAACACCUGAAAGAUCUGAAAAUAUUUACAUUUUUUGCCUCCCAACCUUUUCAGAAAGUUCCUCUGAGCACAGCAAAUAGAGAUGAAGUGAAUUGUACGUUUUUAUCCACUUUUAACUAUAAUAUUUGGUAUGUCUACAUUUUGCAGCGAUUACAGCAGCACAUCUUUCUGUCAUAAUUAUUUGACAUGAUCACCCAAUAGGGUAAUAAAUUCAGCCUAAACAGAAAAAUAAACAUGGAUCUUGAUACACAAAUAUCUCUGUUAGAUAAAGACAGUAUUAAAACCCAACUUUCGAUUUUGCAUUUUAUUUCCACUUUGGGGAUUUCCUUUUUGAUUUAUUUAAUUCCACUCUUCACAAAUGUUAUUCUUCAUAUAUUUACUCAUUGCCACAUGUGUUGUAUUUUUAUUUUCCAUCCAUACUUUUAUAUCUACUGUCACGAUCCCUGUCUGUGUUUCAUGUGUCUAUGUUCAAGGACUUUUAGUUUGUAGUUCUGUGUCACUAUUGUUGUCUUGUUCCUCUCCUGUUUCCCUGUUGCUCUGCUCCCUUGUUAGUUAUCAUGGACACUGAUUGAAUACACUCAUCUCCUUGUUAGUUGCUCUGGUAAAUGAGGUAAAUGAUCAUAUGGUAACUAUUUUUCAGUCAAACUCCAAACAUGUGGACUGUAGUUCUUCUGCUCCUUGAAGUUACUCUCAGCUGUGCUACAGCUCAUUUCUGUCUUUAACAAAGUGGAGAUGAGCAAAGGUGCUGGCCACGGUUUGGAGCUGUUCCUGAGUUUUGCAGAUGGCUAUGUAUUUUCCCCAUUAUUUUUCUGAUGCCUUAAGAUUAUUUGUGAGGAUAAAUCCAGAGAAUAAGACAUGAUGCACUGCAAAACAUCCUGAGACAGGAGAAAUGGUGAAGAUGAACUGUUCCAGCAUUGGAAGACUGUAUUUUUAAGUGUUAUACAUGCAGUGUUUUAAAUAAAGAAUUUGAUAUUUUGUAA
Carassius gibelio (silver crucian carp) is the source of this 2763-nucleotide long non-coding RNA. RefSeq lists it as uncharacterized. Lineage: Eukaryota; Metazoa; Chordata; Actinopteri; Cypriniformes; Cyprinidae. The transcript is spliced from 2 exons. The record is from RefSeq and is a predicted model, not a curated record.